Molecule: ribosomal RNA, 301 nt
Filed under: uncultured bacterium
Lineage: Bacteria
Description: partial 16S ribosomal RNA
Rfam family: Bacterial small subunit ribosomal RNA
Source: RNAcentral
CAGCCGCCACGGUAAUACGAAGGGGGCUAGCGUUGUUCGGAAUCACUGGGCGUAAAGGGUGCGUAGGCGGAUUCUUAAGUCAGGGGUGAAAUCCCGAGGCUCAACCUCGGAACUGCCUUUGAUACUGGGGAUCUUGAGUCCGGAAGAGGUGAGUGGAACUGCGAGUGUAGAGGUGAAAUUCGUAGAUAUUCGCAAGAACACCGGUGGCGAAGGCGGCUCACUGGUCCGGAACUGACGCUGAGGCACGACAGCGUGGGGAGCAAACAGGAUUAGAUACCCGUGUAGUCCCUGUCUCUUAUAA